UACGUAGGGGGCAAGCGUUGUCCGGAAUCAUUGGGCGUAAAGCGCGUGUAGGCGGCUCAGUAAGUCCGCUCUGAAAGCCCGGGGCUUAACCCCGGGAGGCGGGUGGAUACUGCUGAGCUUGAGUCCGGAAGAGGCGAGUGGAAUUCCCGGUGUAGCGGUGAAAUGCGCAGAUAUCUGGAGGAACACCGGUGGCGAAGGCGGCAUCCUGGACCGGCAUUGACGCUGAGGAGCGAAAGCCAGGGGAGCAAACGGG
RNAcentral lists this ribosomal RNA (253 nucleotides) under uncultured bacterium. RNAcentral describes it as "partial 16S ribosomal RNA". It matches the Rfam family "Bacterial small subunit ribosomal RNA", at positions 524 to 776 of the family's 1533-position model. The record is from RNAcentral.